This is a long non-coding RNA of Drosophila grimshawi, 252 nucleotides long. RefSeq lists it as uncharacterized. The transcript is spliced from 2 exons. The record is from RefSeq and is a predicted model, not a curated record. NCBI's taxonomy places the organism in Eukaryota, Metazoa, Arthropoda, Insecta, Diptera, Drosophilidae.
AACUAUUCAUUACUGUUGGACGCGUGAAAAAGCGACUGGUUGUUGGUUAAUUCACAAUGGCAUGACGACGAGCUGGCCCUGUACAAAGCGAUUUUUAGCGUUGCCGGACAUCUCUACUGACGCGAACAAAUAUGGCGGAUAGUACACUGAUAGAUUUUCAACUGUUAUCGAUACUAUCGAUAUUCGCCUUUUCCGUUGCGCUAAUUUUAACACUUUCAGCGUUGAUAUUGUUAAGUAUCAAUUUUAGAAGUG